CGCACAUUGCGCCCUUCGGUUAUUCCUUAGGGCAUGCCUGUUCGAGCGUCAUUUCAACCUUCAAGCACAGCUUGGUGUUGGGCGUCUGUCCCGCCUCUUGCGCGAGGACUCGCCCCAAAUGGAUUGGCAGUCGCAACCACCGAGCCGCGAGCGCAGCACAAGUCGCGCGAGUCGGCGAGGGACUGGGACGCUCCACAAGACCCCUUCUACAGUCUUGACCUCGGAUCAGGUAGGGAUACCCGCUGAACUUAA
This 252-nucleotide unclassified non-coding RNA is filed under the name Torula sp. Its description in RNAcentral is "partial contains 5.8S ribosomal RNA, internal transcribed spacer 2, and large subunit ribosomal RNA". Lineage: Eukaryota; Fungi; Ascomycota; Dothideomycetes; Pleosporales; Torulaceae. The record is from RNAcentral.